RNAcentral lists this non-coding RNA (26 nucleotides) under Homo sapiens (human). The record is from RNAcentral. Lineage: Eukaryota; Metazoa; Chordata; Mammalia; Primates; Hominidae.
UGACCUGAGUGAGCUGCCACCGCUGG